GGAAUAUUGCACAAUGGGGACAACCCUGAUGCAGCAAUGCCGCGUGUGUGAAGAAGGUCUUCGGAUUGUAAAGCACUUUAAGUUGGGAGGAAGGGUAGUAACUUAAUACGUUGCUACUUUGACGUUACAGACAGAAUAAGCACCGGCUAACUUCGUGCCAGCAGCCGCGGUAAUACGAAGGGUGCAAGCGUUAAUCGGAAUUACUAGGCGUAAAGCGCGCGUAGGUGGUUCAGUAAGUUGGAAGUGAAAUCCCCGGGCUCAACCUGGGAACUGCUUUCAAAACUGCUGAGCUAGAGUACGGUAGAGGGUGGUGGAAUUUCCUGUGUAGCGGUGAAAUGCGUAGAUAUAGGAAGGAACACCAGUGGCGAAGGCGACCACCUGGACUGAUACUGACACUGAGGUGCGAAAGCGUGGGGAGCAAAC
RNAcentral lists this ribosomal RNA (423 nucleotides) under uncultured bacterium. Its description in RNAcentral is "bacterial SSU rRNA". It matches the Rfam family "Bacterial small subunit ribosomal RNA", at positions 358 to 773 of the family's 1533-position model. The record is from RNAcentral.